Molecule: transfer RNA, 77 nt
Filed under: Terriglobia bacterium
Lineage: Bacteria; Pseudomonadati; Acidobacteriota; Terriglobia
Also listed under: 1 other name
Description: tRNA-Cys
Rfam family: tRNA
About the family: Transfer RNA (tRNA) molecules are approximately 80 nucleotides in length. Their secondary structure includes four short double-helical elements and three loops (D, anti-codon, and T loops).
Source: RNAcentral
GGCGCGGUACCCAAGAGGCCUAAGGGAGAGGUCUGCAAAACCUCCAUACGUGGGUUCAAAUCCCACCCGCGCCUCCA